This 318-nucleotide ribosomal RNA is filed under the name Triticum aestivum (bread wheat). RNAcentral's name for it is "partial small subunit ribosomal RNA". Lineage: Eukaryota; Viridiplantae; Streptophyta; Magnoliopsida; Poales; Poaceae. The record is from RNAcentral.
AUGCAUAGACGGACAAAGUCAAUGUUGAUGAUGCACCGCUCCAGGCUUUCCAGCCUGGGAACACGUCGUGGACGAAGGCACGCGUCGGUGUUUCCAGCGUCGGGCAUACGUAGAUGGGGACUUGCACGAGUUGCACACCAUGUCGAGGGGGCUAGCAGAGAAGGACUCAAUGAUGGUUGCAGCGCAUAUUGGCGUGCGGCUGAUGUUGCCGCGGUGGUCGGAGUAGAUGAAGUGGUCGAGGAAGAUAAUGACAAUGCUGGCGAUGAGCUGGUGCUGGACGAAGAUGAAAGGGGUGGACAACAGCGGUCGCUUGGGUGA